CCUCACAUAAUGAGGACUGACUGUACCUGCCUCAGAGCUGCUUUGAUAAGAAAAAGAUGGGGCAGGAACU
This is a non-coding RNA of Callorhinus ursinus (northern fur seal), 70 nucleotides long. Lineage: Eukaryota; Metazoa; Chordata; Mammalia; Carnivora; Otariidae. The record is from RefSeq and is a predicted model, not a curated record.